This is a long non-coding RNA of Pangasianodon hypophthalmus (striped catfish), 1764 nucleotides long. RefSeq lists it as uncharacterized. The record is from RefSeq and is a predicted model, not a curated record. The transcript is spliced from 3 exons. NCBI's taxonomy places the organism in Eukaryota, Metazoa, Chordata, Actinopteri, Siluriformes, Pangasiidae.
CUGACAGUAUUCAAUGGUGUAUAUGUGUGUACCUAUAGGGGGGAUCUUACGAGCACAUGAAUUAAUUAAAGCCUCCACAGGAUUUUGUUCCUAGCUCAUGCAAGGAUUACACAGAAUGAUGUGAAAAAUAUCCGAUGAGCUGAAGUUCAGCAGGUGGAAACGCCUCGUUGAGAAGAAAGAGGAGAGGUCUUUCAGAGUGGUCUGAGCUGACAGAAAGGCUACAGUAACUCAAAUAACUCUACAAGCGUGCCACAUGUGAAACAGGAUUUCCAUGCAAUCGCUGUCUUUCCUGACGUCAAAAGCUUGACUUUAAUCUUGUCACAGUUAAAGGAGCAUCAGAAAACCAAUCCCAACAGCUUCUGUUGUGUGACACAUUAGUUCUGUAUUCAAGACUGCCAGUGUCAAGUCCAAGACAAGUCCAAGACCAUCACUAGCCGAGAUCGAGUCAAGACCAAGUCCUAAGAGGGUCGAAGGCCAAGAUCAAGACCAAAAACCAUCAAAUCCUUUUCAAGGCUGAGUCUUUACUUUUUGUGCAAAGCACCAAGUGGUUGGCUGUUUUCCUAGAAAAGGAAUUACUUCUUGUUAAACUUUGUGCAUGUGAAAAAUAAAAGAAAACAUGAACAAUUUUUUUUUUUUUUUUACCAACUCUCAGUCAAAACCAAUACCAUAUUUAGCCACCAACAAUCUGGUUGUACAAACAUAACUAUUUUUGGAUCAAAAUCAAGAAGAAAAAUCAAGAACAACAGCAUUAUUGUGCAAACAUAAAACCUCCCAAAUAAAUAUUUUGCAGUAAAGUGACUUGAGACCUCAAACCUAAUUUGUUUUCUGAAAAGAAGAACAUAAUAGGAUUAAUUAAAAACGGUAUAAACAUGAACUGUUUAAGAAAAUGAAAUAAAAUAGUAGCAUUUAUCAAUGCUACUCAGCUAUUUUGCUGAUAAAAUAGCUAACUACUGUGGACAGGCUCAUGUAGAUCUGAGGUUUUGCCAGAUUGGUGAUGUAAUUAUCACUAAAAUCUUAUUAGAUUAUUUUGUACAUGUAAAAACAUUCAAACGUUGCCUUGGCUUCUGAAGCCAGGAGCACUCUACUCCAGUGUUUCCUCAGCUGGGUUCUGAAGUUUCCUGCACUGCAUGUCUUGUUUUUCCUGCUCGAACACACUUGAUCCAAAGAAUCAGCUAAUUAACCGACCUGCUUUUUUUCCGAGUCAACAGGAGUGUGUUAGAGCAGAACCAAUCUCUACGCUACUGAACCAUUGUGUCUUUAGCCUUGUUUUGGUCUUUCAGUUCUACCAGGGGAAUGAGAAAGGAAGGGAGGGAAAGAGAUACAGACAGAAUAAGUACACUAUAGUCCUAUCUUUUUUUUUUUUUUUUUGGGAAAAAAAACAUUCUCUUUUACAUUCUUUUGGAAGUACUCUUGGUUUAAAAGGACUUCACUUUUUAAUGCCUAGAAGCUUAACUGUUACACUUCAAGUAGUAUAUAGGAUUAAUUCAUUCAUCCACAACUGAAUGAUGAAAGUGACAGAGAGUGAGGUAAAAAUUGUGUCUGUUCUUAUAUGCACUGAAGGAUAGAUGGAUGGAUAGAUGGAUGGAUGGAUGGACAGAUGGAUGGAUAUAUGGAGGCUGGUUUUAGUGAGGUCUAAGGUUGUAUGGUGUAUGAUUAAACAUUCACCCCAAUAAACUACACACAUAACUGCUCUUAUGUGUAGCAAUGGAUGGAUGGAUGGAUGGAUGGACGGAUGGAUGGAUGGAUGGAUGGAUGGUGUUAGUG